AUAAGUGGGUCCCAAAUGUUUCUGGAUGUAUAUACCAUCCUCGCCGUUUUGAGGUCGCAGGCAUGAUGUGGACCAAUCACAAAACCCAUCUAUUUGCUUUGCCUUAUUGUGGCUUCUGUUCCCAGUACCCUUUAGUGUGUACCUUAAUUACUUGUGUAAUAUUCUGGUAUUGACCAUCGCAUUGUUAUUGACCCUGCGUUUAUUUUUAACCCUUUCCUGUGUUGUUAGACUGAUUACCGUGUGACUGACUCUGACUAGUUCUUAUUUUCGCUUUCUCUCUGUUACCCUGACCUCGGCUUGUUUGUGACUACGCUUUUAUCUCUAACGUUACGUCCGGCCAUUCUAAGGCUCGGUAAUACAUUAUUUCC
This is a non-coding RNA of Pelobates cultripes (western spadefoot toad), 368 nucleotides long. The record is from the annotation of a GenBank genome assembly. Lineage: Eukaryota; Metazoa; Chordata; Amphibia; Anura; Pelobatidae.